RNAcentral lists this ribosomal RNA (262 nucleotides) under uncultured bacterium. Its description in RNAcentral is "partial 16S ribosomal RNA". It matches the Rfam family "Bacterial small subunit ribosomal RNA", at positions 98 to 354 of the family's 1533-position model. The record is from RNAcentral.
CGGGACGGGUGGAGGUAACGACGUGGAAAACCGUAGCCGUAUACUGGGGAGUAACACUUAGAAAUAAGGUGCUAAUACCGCAUAAGCGCACAGCUUCGCAUGAAGUGGUGUGAAAAACUCUGGUGGUAUACGAUGGUUCCGCGUCUGAUUAGCUUGUUGGUGGGGUAAUGGCUCACCAAGGCGACGAUCAGUAGCCGGCCUGAGAGGGUGAACGGCCACAUUGGGACUGAGACACGGCCCAAACUCCUACGGGAGGCAGCAG